GUGGGAAAUGGCUAACUUAUUCAUUAUUGAAAUGUAAUAAGCAAGCUCUUUUCCCAGGC
Molecule: microRNA precursor, 59 nt
Filed under: Pristionchus pacificus
Lineage: Eukaryota; Metazoa; Nematoda; Chromadorea; Rhabditida; Neodiplogasteridae
Description: microRNA ppc-mir-8281 precursor
Source: miRBase by way of RNAcentral